Molecule: ribosomal RNA, 253 nt
Filed under: uncultured bacterium
Lineage: Bacteria
Description: partial 16S ribosomal RNA
Rfam family: Bacterial small subunit ribosomal RNA
Source: RNAcentral
UACGUAGGUGGCAAGCGUUGUCCGGAUUUACUGGGCGUAAAGAGCGCGCAGGCGGUCGUUCAAGUCGCGUGUGAAAGCCCCCGGCUCAACUGGGGAGGGUCACGCGAUACUGAUCGACUGGAAGGCAGGAGAGGGUAGUGGAAUUCCCGGUGUAGUGGUGAAAUGCGUAGAUAUCAGGAGGAACACCUGGGGCGAAAGCGGCUCACUGGACCACAACUGACGCAGAGGCGCGAAAGCGAGGGGAGCAAACAGG